GACGAACGCUGGCGGCGUGCUUAACACAUGCAAGUCGAACGGAGAUUCAGCAAUGGAUCUUAGUGGCGAACGGGUGAGUAACGCGUAGGCAAUCUGCCUUCUAGAUGGGGACAACAUCCCGAAAGGGGUGCUAAUACCGAAUGUUGUAGUUGGUUCGCAUGGACUAGCUACUAAAGGUGGCCUCUGAAUAUGCUACCGCUAGAAGAUGAGCCUGCGUCUGAUUAGCUAGUUGGAGGGGUAACGGCCCACCAAGGCUUCGAUCAGUAGCCGGUCUGAGAGGAUGAACGGCCACACUGGGGCUGAGACACGGCCCAGACUCCUACGGGAGGCAGCAGUGGGGAAUCUUCCGCAAUGGACGAAAGUCUGACGGAGCAACGCCGCGUGAGUGAAGAAGGUUUUCGGAUCGUAAAGCUCUUUCGUUAGGGACGAACGUGCUCUUUGUGAAUAAUGAGGAGUAAUGACGGUACCUAAAUAAGAAGCCACGGCUAACUACGUGCCAGCAGCCGCAGUAA
RNAcentral lists this ribosomal RNA (512 nucleotides) under uncultured bacterium. Its description in RNAcentral is "partial 16S ribosomal RNA". It matches the Rfam family "Bacterial small subunit ribosomal RNA", at positions 28 to 523 of the family's 1533-position model. The record is from RNAcentral.